Molecule: non-coding RNA, 418 nt
Organism: Prunus avium (sweet cherry)
Lineage: Eukaryota; Viridiplantae; Streptophyta; Magnoliopsida; Rosales; Rosaceae
Source: RefSeq, a predicted model, not a curated record
AAUUCCUAUUUCUACGGUUGCAUCGGAAUCGGCUUUUAGUGUUGGAGGGAGAGUAUUAGAUCAAUAUCGUAGUUCGUUAUUGCCUGAAAUUGUUCAAGCUUUGUUGUGUACUCGAGAUUGGCUUUUUGGCAAAGGAGCCAUGGAGGAAGAGAUAGAAAUCCUUACUGAAGAUGUCUUCAAACUUAAUUGUGAAGAUACUAGAUCGGGACAAUGCUCCAAUAGUAUUUCUCUUGAUGAUUGAUGUGAGGAACAUUGCAAGUGAAAUGUUGAAGUCUGGAUCACAUUCAUGGAUGCUAUACAUGUUGUUUUCUUUUUUGUUAUCUCAAGUUUGGUGUAAAUGUUUAAUAUAUUUUUAGUUUUUUUUUGGGAAUGUUAAUGAUCUUUUUGGGCAUGUAUAAUAUAAUGUGUUGUUUGGAAC